UGGCGAACGGGUGAGUAACGCGUGAGGAACCUGCCUCAAAGAGGGGGACAACAGUUGGAAACGACUGCUAAUACCGCAUAAGCCCACGGGUCGGCAUCGACCUGAGGGAAAAGGAGCAAUCCGCUUUGAGAUGGCCUCGCGUCCGAUUAGCUAGUUGGUGAGGUAACGGCCCACCAAGGCGACGAUCAGUAGCCGGCCUGAGAGGGUGAACGGCCACAUUGGGACUGAGACACGGCCCAA
Molecule: ribosomal RNA, 240 nt
Filed under: uncultured bacterium
Lineage: Bacteria
Description: partial 16S ribosomal RNA
Rfam family: Bacterial small subunit ribosomal RNA
Source: RNAcentral